CCUACCACCUUCUCUCUCUCUAAAAAUCCAAAACCUCUCUCUUCUGGGAUUUCCUCUCUCUCUCUCUCUAAAAUUUCCACUUUCUGCUCAGGUCUCUACUCUCUAUCUACACUUUCCUCCUUGGUAAACCCUUCCCUUGCUUUCUCUCUCAUCCGAAGAUAGAAGAAGUCUUUCUGCAAUACUCUCUCUCUUUACGCCAUUGCAGUGUUGGAGCUCCAUGCUUUUUGAGCUCAACCAUGCUAAACAGCACAAAUGAAGGAGAGUGUGCGUCAAAUCAAGGUGGUAUAGUUCCUGAACAUGAUGCCGCUCAAGAAAACUUGGCAGUAAAUGUUGACACUGUUGCAGAGAAGGCAUUGUAUGAACUGAAAAGACAUGAAAGUGGUGAUCAGUAUAUGGGCUUUGAAUCUGGGGAUGCUCCAAAGGAAAUGGCAAAGGAAAUCACACCUAUUGAAAAGGCUGAAGUGUCAGACCAUGUCGAUCCAUUUGUGGGUAUGGUGUUUGAAUCUGAGGAAGAUGCAAAGGAAUACUACCUUGCAUAUGCUUUGCGUGUGGGGUUUAUCAUAAGGUCCAAUAGGGUCUUGCGUUCAAAGCGUGACGGAACAAACAUUGGGCGAGAUUUUGUGUGCUCCAAAGAAGGUUUUCGUGCAAAGAAAUACCAAGGAACCCUAAGGCCACGACCGAAAACUAGGGAAGGUUGCAAGGCCAUGUUACGUGUAAAGAAGGAAGACAGUGGAAAGUGGGUUGUCUCAAAAUUUUCCGAGGAGCAUAGUCAUGCAUUGGUGCCUCCAAAAAAAGUGCCUCGUCCAAGAACUCGUAGGCAACCUGAUGCUAUUGGAAUUUCCAAUAAUUCUUUCAAUGAUUCAGGAAUAAAGUCAAGCAAUGGGUCUUUAUUGGGGAGCCAGCCAGUUGGCCCGACCAGCUUUGGGUGCAACUUGCAAGACUGCAAGAAUCAUAUCCAGUGCAUUCGGAAAACGAACCUUGAAAAUGAUGCUCAACAGGUACUACAAUAUUUCAAUUGUAUGCAAGCAAAGAACCAAGCAUUCUUUUAUGCAACUCAAAGUGAUGAAGAAGAUCAUGUAGCCAAUUUUUUCUGGGUGGAUGCCAGGUCAAGGAUAGCAUACAGUUACUUUGGUGAUGUUGUUAGCUUUGACACUACGUAUAAGACGAAGAGGUAUGGAAUGCCUUUCGCUUGUUUUGUAGGGGUCAACCAUCAUAACCAGUAUGUCGUGUUUGGAUGUGCAUUGCUUCGAGACGAAACAGAAGAAUCACUUGUGUGGUUGUUUAGUACAUGGCUUGAAGCUAUGUCGGGUCGCCAUCCAGUUGCAAUAAUUACUGACCAAAAUGCAGCCAUGACAUUAGCCGCUGCUAAGGUGUUCCCAAGAACUGGCCAUCGAUUUUGCAAGUGGCACAUUCACAGAAAAUUCCAAGAGAAGUUGGGCCUUGUGGCCCGAAGGCAUCCAAAUUUCAAAGGAGAUUUCUCUGAAUGUAUCAAUAUGUCUGGGCCCAUGAGUGAGUUUGAAUCAUGUUGGAUGUCUCUCAUUUAUAAAUAUGACCUUAGGGAUAAUGCAUGGCUCCAGUUGCUCCACAAUAGUCGUGAACAAUGGUUGCAUGUUUACUUGCAAGACGUAUUCUUCACUAAUAUUUCUACUGGCGGGCGAAGUGAAGGAAUCUACACUUUUUUUGAUGGGUACUUGAAUGCAAACUCCAGCUUGCAAGUGUUUGUUAAACAAUGCGAGAAGGCCCUUGACAAGCAGUAUGAAAUGGAACUUGAAGAGGACUUCAAUACAAGUUUUGACAAACCGAAUAUGAAGACAGGAUUUCCCAUGGAAACCCAAGUGGCAGAUAUUUAUACGAGAGUAAUGUUCCUGAAAUUUCAGGAUGAGUUAUUAGAAAGUCUUCGUUUUGUCGCUGAAAUAACUGAAGAGGAUGCACCCACUAGCACAUUUAGGGUGGCUGAAUAUGGGGCUCAAAAGCCAGCAUACAUUGUCACUUUCAAUGCAGUUGACGUAAGAGCGAGUUGUAACUGUCAAAUGUUUGAGCAUGGUGGCAUUCUUUGUAGGCAUGUUUUAAUAGUCUUCAGAAUGAAAAAUGUCAUGGAGCUCCCAUCCCACUAUAUCGUGAAACGGUGGACAAGGAAUGCCACAAAUGGCCCUGUAUUUGAUGAGAAUGGGGUAGAAUUGCAAGCUGAGUCUCACACAUCUCGAAUAUUGAGAUAUAAUGAACUAUGCCGAUUGGCCAUUAAAUGUGCAACCGAAGGGGCAGCGAAUAAAGAUGUCUUCAAUUUUGCAAUGCGUACUCUACGAAAAGCUCUCGAAGAUAUUAUUGGUGCAAGAAGAAUUGUAGGGCCAGUUGCUCAGCCUAGCACAGGCAUACCAGCAAAUGGUGGUAUUAUUGAAACAACUAUUUGCGAAGUAAGUCAAUCAGAAAGUACAAAAGGACAUCCUCCUAGAAUUAAACACUCUUUGGAGAAGCAAACCAAGAGGAAAAGACAUUGUGUUAUUUGCAAAGGUGUUGGCCAUGACCAACGCAAAUGUCCAAAUAAAGCCAAUACGGGGCCCACUUCUGAUAUCGUUGGGUUUGUGGCCCCAAUAAGUCAGCAGAAUGGUGGGAUCGGUGAAGAGCGUUUGGAAUUCUUUGAUGGAACUACGGUUGUUCUAACAAGUUCUCGCCUCGAUAUGAAUGAGCCUUCUGCCUUCCAUGAUUCCGAGACUGAUCGUUCUUUCCAGUUUGCUGCCAUUUGAGAAACUUCCUUGUUGGUUCCUAUCUGUGUGCAGCCAGGGUCUUGCAAGUGUUCCAAUACGCAUAUUUUCCUUCGAUUGAAUAUCAAGAUGUUUACCCUUUUUUGUGGAAGAUUAAUAUCAUAAUCCAAUGGGUAUGACAGUCUGUACUGCAAACAAGGAGGCAUCCACCAUCUGUUCCCAACAAUGGACGUUGGACAUGUGGAAAAACCCCACAAUUAUGAAGUAGGGGCCCAUGUUUUACAGAAAGUUAACCUGUAAUUAUACCAAGGAGAUUGGUUUUGUCAUGUGCCGUGAAAGAAUGAAACUGGGGUUUAAAUGGGGUAAAAACUGAAGAUGUUGGAUUUACACAUAUAUGAUAACUGUCCAUUUUGGUCUUCUUGGGAUGGCAGGACUUCUUAGUUCUUAUAUAAAUUUGUACAGGUGACAUCACUAGUUUAUUUUUAUGUUUAGAAGCCCCAUUUAAUUUUUCUCUAUUUGGUUAAGAGUGUUGCGGCAUUGGAUUUCAAGAUUUGCAUUUUAGAUUGAUAGAUCACUGACUUCUUUUUUUCUUUAUUUUUUUCUUCAUUAGAAAGAGAGCUCCUUGCUUUUUUUUAUAUAUUUUUGGGCAAUUUUAAAAAUAAAUUUUGGUGGAUCCAAGUUAUAAUAAGUUCAUUCACAAGGGAAAUUGUACUUGAGUUCGAGUCAAAUGUCUCAUCAUCAUCAUCAUAGUUUUUUCUUAAUUAAUUGGGGUCGGCCACACGAAAAUUGUACUUGCAUUCGAGUCGAAGGCCUAAGAGGAAGAAUAAUGCUCCAUUAAUGUGGAGCUCUUCUGGAGCAUUGGUUGAGGUGAAAAAAUUGUAUACA
Molecule: non-coding RNA, 3584 nt
Organism: Amborella trichopoda
Lineage: Eukaryota; Viridiplantae; Streptophyta; Magnoliopsida; Amborellales; Amborellaceae
Source: RefSeq, a predicted model, not a curated record